This 742-nucleotide ribosomal RNA is filed under the name uncultured bacterium. RNAcentral describes it as "bacterial SSU rRNA". It matches the Rfam family "Bacterial small subunit ribosomal RNA", at positions 28 to 771 of the family's 1533-position model. The record is from RNAcentral.
GAUGCCCUUUGGCGGCGUGCUUAACACAUGCAAGUCGAACGGGAAAUAUUUCAUUGAGACUUCGGUGGAUUUGAUCUAUUUCUAGUGGCGGACGGGUGAGUAACGCGUGGGUAACCUGCCUUAUACAGGGGGAUAACAGUCAGAAAUGGCUGCUAAUACCGCAUAAGCGCACAGAGCUGCAUGGCUCAGUGUGAAAAACUCCGGUGAUAUAAGAUGGACCCGCGUUGGAUUAGCUUGUUGGCGGGGUAACGGCCCACCAAGGCGACAAUCCAUAGCCGGCCUGAGAGGGUGAACGGCCACAUUGGGACUGAGACACGGCCCAGACUCCUACGGGAGGCAGCAGUGGGGAAUAUUGCACAAUGGGGGAAACCCUGAUGCAGCGACGCCGCGUGAAGGAAGAAGUAUCUCGGUAUGUAAACUUCUAUCAGCAGGGAAGAUAGUGACGGUACCUGACUAAGAAGCCCCGGCUAACUACGUGCCAGCGGCCGCGGUAAUACGUAGGGGGCAAGCGUUAUCCGGAUUUACUGGGUGUAAAGGGAGCGUAGACGGUGUGGCAAGUCUGAUGUGAAAGGCAUGGGCUCAACCUGUGGACUGCAUUGGAAACUGUCAUACUUGAGUGCCGGAGGGGUAAGCGGAAUUCCUAGUGUAGCGGUGAAAUGCGUAGAUAUUAGGAGGAACACCAGUGGCGAAGGCGGCUUACUGGACGGUAACUGACGUUGAGGCUCGAAAGCGUGGGGAGCUC